Molecule: long non-coding RNA, 935 nt
Filed under: Marmota monax (woodchuck)
Lineage: Eukaryota; Metazoa; Chordata; Mammalia; Rodentia; Sciuridae
Source: RNAcentral
GCCAAGGCUCGCCAACCAAGGUCAGCAGAUCAGUAUAUUGAUCAAAGAGCUGCCUUUUACCUCCCUCCUCUCAAAGAGCCUUCUGGUCCUUUGCCCUGAAGCUGGCCAGGGCCUCUGGGGAAUGAGAGGUCCACCCUGCGGGCUACCCUGCCUGCUGGCCCCUGGCCCUGGCCUUGUUCUGACCUGCUGUGUAGCACAGAGCCCCAGGGGCGAGUUGCUCCCCUUCUCUGCAGGAUGCAGCCUCCACACCUCCUCCCCGGGGUUCCCAGCACUGUGUCCUCCAGGGCCAUGCUGUCUGGACACCAGCCAGUGGCCACUCCAUGCUAUUGGCCGGAGCUUCAUCUGGAGGAGCCACAGCACUGUCCACGGUGCCCUCUAGCUGGUCCCCUGCUCAUGCAGUUCACUCAUUAUUCAUUCAGUGUGCUCAGCGGACAGGACAGGACUGGGGAAUGAGGUUGGCCGGAAGCUGAGCACAGGAGAGGCUGGGCUCUGCCUCAGACGGGUCAGUCUCCCCCUGGCCAGUAGCACGGAACAACUCCCUCAGGCUCUCUGUCCGAGGUCUCCUUCCCCUAGAUGGGGUGACCUCAUUUUAGGGAAGAAAUAGUCAAUGAGAUAAUGUGCAAGUGCCCUGGAUAGCUCUGAUCAAUUGUGACCCAGCAAUCUCACGUCUGGGUACGAACCCGGGAGAACUGGCAUGCCCAGCCGCGCUCACAGGGCCUCAUUCACAAAGCCAAGAUGGAGAAGCGGCUCGUGCGUGGGCGGAGACUGGACGGCUGGCAACAGGGUGUGGUCCCUGCACCGUGGGCCGCUCCUCGGGCUGAGGCAGGAAGGGCCGCCACUCAGGCGGGCCUGGAAGACACGCGGUGAAUGAAGUAAGUCACUCACGAAAGAGCACACAUUUGUGUGAGGUGCCGUCAUGGAGUCCACAGCGACAG